ACACGACUACAUUAGAUACCCCCGUAGUCCUAGGCGUAAACGAUACUCGCUAGGUGUCGGCCACGGUGCGACCGUUGUCGGUGCCGUAGGGAAGCCGUGAAGCGAGCCACCUGGGAAGUACGGCCGCAAGGCUGAAACUUAAAGGAAUUGGCGGGGGAGCACAACAACGGGUGGAGCUUGCGGUUUAAUUGGAUUCAACGCCGGAAAUCUUACCGGGACCGACAGCAACAUGAAGGCCAAGCUGAAGACUUUGCCGGAUUAGCUG
Molecule: ribosomal RNA, 265 nt
Filed under: uncultured archaeon
Lineage: Archaea
Description: partial 16S ribosomal RNA
Rfam family: Archaeal small subunit ribosomal RNA
Source: RNAcentral